This 661-nucleotide ribosomal RNA is filed under the name uncultured bacterium. Its description in RNAcentral is "bacterial SSU rRNA". It matches the Rfam family "Bacterial small subunit ribosomal RNA", at positions 232 to 885 of the family's 1533-position model. The record is from RNAcentral.
CGCGGCCUAUCAGCUUGUUGGUGGGGUAAUGGCCUACCAAGGCAACGACGGGUAGCCGGCCUGAGAGGGUGACCGGCCACACUGGGGCUGAGACACUGCCCAGACUCCUACGGGAGGCUGCAGUCGAGAAUCUUCCGCAAUGGGGGAAACCCUGACGGAGCGACGCCGCGUGCGGGAUGAAGGCCUUCGGGUUGUAAACCGCUGUCACAGGUUAGGAAAGGGCUAGGCGUCAAUAGCGCCAAGUCUUGACAAAGGCCUGAGAGGAAGCCACGGCUAACUUCGUGCCAGCAGCCGCGGUAAGACGAAGGUGGCGACCGUUAUUCGGAAUCACUGGGCAUAAAGCGCACGUAGGCGGCUUUGUAAGUCAGGUGUGAAAUCCCUCGGCCCAACCGAGGAACUGCGCUUGAAACUGCAAGGCUUGAGAGCGGGAGGGGAACGUGGAAUUCCUGGUGGAGCGGUGAAAUGCGUUGAUAUCAGGAGGAACACCAGCGGCGAAGGCGACGUUCUGGCCCGCUUCUGACGCUGAGGUGCGAAAGCCAGGGUAGCAAACGGGAUUAGAUACCCCGGUAGUCCUGGCCGUAAACGAUGGGCACUAGGUAGGGGGAUACCCAACUUUCCCUGCUGGAGAUAAUUCGUUAAGUGCCCCGCCUGGGGAGUACGG